GAUGAACGCUGGCGGCGUGCUUAACACAUGCGAGUCGAACGAAGCAUUUAGGGCAGAUUACUUCGGUUUGAAGUUCUUUAUGACUGAGUGGCGGACGGGUGAGUAACGCGUGGGUAACCUGCCUUGUACUGGGGGAUAGCAGCUGGAAACGGCUGGUAAUACCGCAUAAGCGCACAAUGUUGCAUGACAUGGUGUGAAAAACUCCGGUGGUAUAAGAUGGACCCGCGUCUGAUUAGCUAGUUGGUGAGAUAACAGCCCACCAAGGCGACGAUCAGUAGCCGACCUGAGAGGGUGACCGGCCACAUUGGGACUGAGACACGGCCCAGACUCCUACGGGAGGCAGCAGUGGGGAAUAUUGCACAAUGGAGGAAACUCUGAUGCAGCGACGCCGCGUGAGUGAAGAAGUAAUUCGUUAUGUAAAGCUCUAUCAGCAGGGAAGAUAGUGACGGUACCUGACUAAGAAGCUCCGGCUAAAUACGUG
Molecule: ribosomal RNA, 481 nt
Filed under: uncultured bacterium
Lineage: Bacteria
Description: partial 16S ribosomal RNA
Rfam family: Bacterial small subunit ribosomal RNA
Source: RNAcentral